GAUGAACGCUGACAGAAUGCUUAACACAUGCAAGUCUACUUGAACUUCGGUUUGGGUGGCGGACGGGUGAGUAACGCGUAAAGAACUUGCCUUACAGUUAGGGACAACAUUUGGAAACGAAUGCUAAUACCUGAUAUUAUGAUUUUAGGGCAUCCUAAGAUUAUGAAAGCUAUAUGCACUGUGAGAGAGCUUUGCGUCCCAUUAGCUAGUUGGAGAGGUAACGGCUCACCAAGGCGAUGAUGGGUAGCCGGCCUGAGAGGGUGAACGGCACAAGGGGACUGAGACACGGCCCUUACUCCUACGGGAGGCAGCAGUGGGGAAUAUUGGACAAUGGACCAAAAGUCUGAUCCAGCAAUUCUGUGUGCACGAUGACGUUUUUCGGAAUGUAAAGUGCUUUCAGUUGGGAAGAAAAAAAUGACGGUACCAACAGAAGAAGUGACGGCUAA
RNAcentral lists this ribosomal RNA (446 nucleotides) under Fusobacterium periodonticum. Its description in RNAcentral is "bacterial SSU rRNA". It matches the Rfam family "Bacterial small subunit ribosomal RNA", at positions 28 to 500 of the family's 1533-position model. Lineage: Bacteria; Fusobacteriati; Fusobacteriota; Fusobacteriia; Fusobacteriales; Fusobacteriaceae. The record is from RNAcentral.